UGGGGAAUAUUGGACAAUGGGCGAAAGCCUGAUCCAGCCAUGCCGCGUGUGUGAAGAGGGUCUUCGGAUUGUAAAGCACUUUAAGUUGGGAGGAAGGGCAGUAACCUAAUACGUUGCUGUCUUGACGUUACCGACAGAAUAAGCACCGGCUAACUCUGUGCCAGCAGCCGCGGUAAUACAGGGGGUGCAAGCGUUAAUCGGAAUUACUGGGCGUAAAGCGCGCGUAGGUGGUUUGUUAAGUUGGAUGUGAAAGCCCCGGGCUCAACCUGGGAACUGCAUCCAAAACUGGCAAGCUAGAGUACGGUAGAGGGUGGUGGAAUUUCCUGUGUAGCGGUGAAAUGCGUAGAUAUAGGAAGGAACACCAGUGGCGAAGGCGACCACCUGGACUGAUACUGACACUGAGGUGCGAAAGCGUGGGGAGCAAACAGGAUUAGAUACCCAUGUAGUCCCUGAGCGGGCUGGCAAGGCGCAU
RNAcentral lists this ribosomal RNA (472 nucleotides) under uncultured bacterium. Its description in RNAcentral is "bacterial SSU rRNA". It matches the Rfam family "Bacterial small subunit ribosomal RNA", at positions 355 to 825 of the family's 1533-position model. The record is from RNAcentral.